AACGCUAGCUACAGGCUUAACACAUGCAAGUCGCGGGGCAGCAUGGGCUUAGCUUGCUAAGUCUGAUGGCGACCGGCGCACGGGUGAGUAACGCGUAUCCAACCUACCGUUGUCCACGGGAUAGCCCGUCGAAAGGCGGAUUAAUACCGUAUGAGGUCACACGAUGGCAUCAGAAUGUGACGAAAGGUUUAGCGGACAGCGAUGGGGAUGCGUCCGAUUAGCUAGUUGGCGGGGUAACGGCCCACCAAGGCGACGAUCGGUAGGGGUUCUGAGAGGAAGGUCCCCCACAUUGGAACUGAGACACGGUCCAAACUCCUACGGGAGGCAGCAGUGAGGAAUAUUGGUCAAUGGCCGUGAGGCUGAACCAGCCAAGUAGCGUGCAGGAUGACGGCCCUAUGGGUUGUAAACUGCUUUUAUGCGGGGAUAAAGUGUACCAUGUAUGGUGUUUUGCAGGUACCGCAUGAAUAAGGACCGGCUAAUUCCGUGCCAGCAGCCGCGGUAAUACGGAAGGUCCGGGCGUUAUCCGGAUUUAUUGGGUUUAAAGGGAGCGUAGGCCGUUUUUUAAGCGUGUUGUGAAAUGCCGCGGCUCAACCGUGGCACUGCAGCGCGAACUGGAUGACUUGAGUGCGCGGGAGGUAGGCGGAAUUCGUGGUGUAGCGGUGAAAUGCUUAGAUAUCACGAAGAACUCCGAUUG
Molecule: ribosomal RNA, 694 nt
Filed under: uncultured Bacteroidales bacterium
Lineage: Bacteria; Pseudomonadati; Bacteroidota; Bacteroidia; Bacteroidales
Description: bacterial SSU rRNA
Rfam family: Bacterial small subunit ribosomal RNA
Source: RNAcentral